This 524-nucleotide ribosomal RNA is filed under the name uncultured bacterium. RNAcentral describes it as "partial 16S ribosomal RNA". It matches the Rfam family "Bacterial small subunit ribosomal RNA", at positions 28 to 523 of the family's 1533-position model. The record is from RNAcentral.
GACGAACGCUGGCGGCGUGCCUAAUACAUGCAAGUCGAACGAAGCUGUUUUAACUGGUGCUUGCACCGACUUAAACAACUGAGUGGCGAACGGGUGAGUAACACGUGGGUAACCUGCCCCAAAGCGGGGGAUAACAUUUGGAAACAGAUGCUAAUACCGCAUAACCACAGAAACCACAUGGUUUCUGGUUCAAAGAUGGUUUCGGCUAUCACUUUGGGAUGGACCCGCGGCGUAUUAGCUAGUUGGUAAGGUAAUGGCUUACCAAGGCAAUGAUACGUAGCCGAACUGAGAGGUUGAUCGGCCACAUUGGGACUGAGACACGGCCCAAACUCCUACGGGAGGCAGCAGUAGGGAAUCUUCCACAAUGGACGAAAGUCUGAUGGAGCAACGCCGCAUGAGUGAAGAAGGUUUUCGGAUCGUAAAACUCUGUUGUCAGGGAAGAACGUGUGCGAGAGUAACUGCUCGUGCAGUGACGGUAUCUGGCCAGAAAGCCACGGCUAACUACGUGCCAGCCGCCGCCGUAA